This 435-nucleotide ribosomal RNA is filed under the name Actinobacillus capsulatus. RNAcentral's name for it is "bacterial SSU rRNA". It matches the Rfam family "Bacterial small subunit ribosomal RNA", at positions 62 to 486 of the family's 1533-position model. Lineage: Bacteria; Pseudomonadati; Pseudomonadota; Gammaproteobacteria; Pasteurellales; Pasteurellaceae. The record is from RNAcentral.
UCGAACGGUAGCAGGAAAGUACUUGUACUUUUGCUGACGAGUGGCGGACGGGUGAGUAAUGCUUGGGAAUCUGGCUUAUGGAGGGGGAUAACUACUGGAAACGGUAGCUAAUACCGCGUAAUAUCGGAAGAUUAAAGGGUGGGACCAUUUGGCCACCUGCCAUAAGAUGAGCCCAAGUGGGAUUAGGUAGUUGGUGGGGUAAGGGCCUACCAAGCCUUCGAUCUCUAGCUGGUCUGAGAGGAUGACCAGCCACACUGGAACUGAGACACGGUCCAGACUCCUACGGGAGGCAGCAGUGGGGAAUAUUGCACAAUGGGGGGAACCCUGAUGCAGCCAUGCCGCGUGAAUGAAGAAGGCCUUCGGGUUGUAAAGUUCUUUCGGUGAUGAGGAAGGUGUUUUGUUUAAUAGACAAAGCAAUUGACGUUAGUCACAGAA